This 69-nucleotide transfer RNA is filed under the name Furcilarnaca chirurga. RNAcentral describes it as "tRNA-Lys". Lineage: Eukaryota; Metazoa; Arthropoda; Insecta; Orthoptera; Gryllacrididae. The record is from RNAcentral.
CAUCAGAUGACUGAAUGUAAGUAAUGGUCUCUUAAACCAAUUUAUAGUAGCUACGCCUACUUCUGAUGA